This 215-nucleotide ribosomal RNA is filed under the name Lachnospiraceae bacterium OF09-6. RNAcentral's name for it is "partial 16S ribosomal RNA". It matches the Rfam family "Bacterial small subunit ribosomal RNA", at positions 1 to 194 of the family's 1533-position model. Lineage: Bacteria; Bacillati; Bacillota; Clostridia; Lachnospirales; Lachnospiraceae. The record is from RNAcentral.
UUUAUUUUGAGAGUUUGAUCCUGGCUCAGGAUGAACGCUGGCGGCGUGCUUAACACAUGCAAGUCGAGCGAAGCACCUAAGAAAGAUUCUUCGGAUGAUUUCUUAGGUGACUGAGCGGCGGACGGGUGAGUAACGCGUGGGUAACCUACCUCAUACAGGGGGAUAACAGUUAGAAAUGACUGCUAAUACCGCAUAAGCGCACAGUGCUGCAUGGC